CGGCAGGCCUAAUACAUGCAAGUCGAGGGGUAGAGAGAGCUUGCUUUCUUGAGACCGGCGCACGGGUGCGUAACGCGUAUGCAACCUACCUUUAUCUGGGGGAUAGCCCGGAGAAAUCCGGAUUAAUACCGCAUAAAAUCACAGAAUAGCACUAUUUAAUGAUCAAACAUUUAUGGGAUGAAGAUGGGCAUGCGUGUCAUUAGCUAGUUGGCGGGGUAACGGCCCACCAAGGCGACGAUGACUAGGGGAUCUGAGAGGAUGGCCCCCCACACUGGUACUGAGACACGGACCAGACUCCUACGGGAGGCAGCAGUAAGGAAUAUUGGUCAAUGGAGGCAACUCUGAACCAGCCAUGCCGCGUGCAGGAAGACUGCCCUAUGGGUUGUAAACUGCUUUUAUCCGGGAAUAAACCUUUCUACGUGUAGGAAGCUGAAUGUACCGGAAGAAUAAGGAUCGGCUAACUCCGUGCCAGCAGCCGCGGUAAUACGGAGGAUCCAAGCGUUAUCCGGAUUUAUUGGGUUUAAAGGGUGCGUAGGCGGCCUGUUAAGUCAGGGGUGAAAGACGGUAGCUCAACUAUCGCAGUGCCCUUGAUACUGAUGGGCUUGAAUGGACUAGAGGUAGGCGGAAUGAGACAAGUAGCGGUGAAAUGCAUAGAUAUGUCUCAGAACACCGAUUGCGAAGGCAGCUUACUAUGGUCUUAUUGACGCUGAGGCACGAAAGCGUGGGGAUCAAACAGGAUUAGAUACCCUGGUAGUCCACGCCCUAAACGAUGAACACUCGCUGUUGGCGAUACACAGUCAGCGGCUAAGCGAAAGCGUUAAGUGUUCCACCUGGGGAGUACGCCCGCAAGGGUGAAACUCAAAGGAAUUGACGGGGGCCCGCACAAGCGGAGGAGCAUGUGGUUUAAUUCGAUGAUACGCGAGGAACCUUACCCGGGCUUGAAAGUUAGUGAAUGAUCUAGAGAUAGAUCAGUGAGCAAUCACACGAAACUAGGUGCUGCAUGGCUGUCGUCAGCUCGUGCCGUGAGGUGUUGGGUUAAGUCCCGCAACGAGCGCAACCCCUAUGUUUAGUUGCCAGCAUGUAAUGAUGGGGACUCUAAACAGACUGCCUGUGCAAACAGAGAGGAAGGAGGGGACGACGUCAAGUCAUCAUGGCCCUUACGUCCGGGGCUACACACGUGCUACAAUGGAUGGUACAGAGGGCAGCUAGCUGGCAACAGUAUGCGAAUCUCACAAAGCCAUUCACAGUUCGGAUUGGGGUCUGCAACUCGACCCCAUGAAGUUGGAUUCGCUAGUAAUCGCGUAUCAGCAAUGACGCGGUGAAUACGUUCCCGGGCCUUGUACACACCGCCCGUCAAGCCAUGGAAGUUGGGGGUACCUAAAGUAUGUAACCGCAAGGAGCGUCCUAGGGUAAAACCGAUAACUGGGGCUAAG
RNAcentral lists this ribosomal RNA (1433 nucleotides) under uncultured organism. Its description in RNAcentral is "SSU rRNA". It matches the Rfam family "Bacterial small subunit ribosomal RNA". The record is from RNAcentral.